Molecule: long non-coding RNA, 4265 nt
Organism: Marmota monax (woodchuck)
Lineage: Eukaryota; Metazoa; Chordata; Mammalia; Rodentia; Sciuridae
Exons: 4
Source: RefSeq, a predicted model, not a curated record
GCAACUUCAACAACUGAAUAUGGACUAUGCCCUGAUAUUGGUUUGAUCAUCUCCACACAGCAAAUUGGUAAUAUCAGAUUCAUGGAACAUAAGUUACACACCAGCACCCUAACUGCAAGGGCCAGGAGAAUAAAUGGAGAAUGUCUGCCUCUUCUGCUUUCAAAUUUAGGAAAUAUCCUGAGACUUCACAUACUGAGACUUCCCCAAUGUGGAUAAUAGAAAAUAUUAUGUGGGACAGUCAAACAAAGCAAAACAAACCAACUAUCAAAUGAGAAGUAGCAUAUGUCUUCUCACACAUUUAAUAAGAAUGUGAUUUUGUGAAGGACUAUUCUAAUAUUUGUUUCUGUUAAUAGAAGAAUCUUGCCACAGGAUUGAUAUGCAGUGAUCAAUCUUAUUAGGUUGAGCUGAUUAUGUGUUUAGUUUUGCCUCAGGACAACUAUAUUUCAAAGGAAAUUACAGUCUGCCGUAAAACUCCUCAGAGUAACAGCAAGAAAUUGCAAUCAUUCAUUGAUCGAUGGAGAGCAAAUAUUUACCUUCAGAAAAAAGUCAAAGCUAAAUUAAGAUCUAACUAACUCCAUUCAGAACUUUGGUCUGAAAAAAAUUUACAGCCUACACAUUCAUGACUGGAUUCAUGGAGCACAUUCAAAUAAUGGAGACCUUUUUCUCAGAGACAUUAUUCUCCAAGGACUCUGAUAAACUUCCAGCAGAUUUGUGUUCUUUUGGAGAUGCCUGCUGAAGAGUUUCAUUCUCUGUGGUAGAGGAGGAAAUCCUGCCAAAUUUUGAUAAAGUUCACAAUAAAGAUUUUAGAUUUCAAUAUUGUUUUAGCGUUCAUGGGUCAAAACAUAAAAAAAAAUCAAUAUCACCUCUACUUUCAAAAUAAAUAAAUUAUUCCAUUUUGAGAUUAGCUACUACCUAAAAAAUUUUACUUUUCAUUUUCAGCAGUAGUGGAAGUUGACAUCUUCCUGCCCAGCAGCUAAGAUACAACACAGAUGAAUAUAGAGAAAAAUUCUACCUUAUCUUUUGAGAAGGAAAAAAAAAAGGUUAAAAUAAGGGGUGAAAGUGAUAAAAAAAAUAGUGUAAGGAAGAAUGGAGAAAACCUAUGAAAGAGAAAAAUAGUUAUAAUCCAUUAUCUGAAAAUACAAUUGAAAUGGAGCUAAUAAUGUGUAAUUAUCAAAAGGUCAAAAUGAUAUUUUUUCAUCAUACAAAAGGUGUAAAGCUAUUAAAGUCUAACAUAUGUCCAGGAUGCACAAUCUAAGAUCAUCAAGAAAGAUCUACCUAUAAAACCCGUUUGAAUACAACUCUGGGUCUACCACAUGAACCCUUGAGAAUUUAAACAGCCUUCAAGAUGUGGAUUUAGAAGUCUUAUGAGAGCAAUGGAAUUCUUCAGCAUGUGUUCCUGUAUAUACAAGUUAACUUCCAAAGUCGAUUUUAACCUGACAAGAACAACUUAGAAGAGAAAAGGUUGAUUUUGGCUCACAGUUUCAGAAGUUCAGUUCAUCAUCAGUGGACACCAUAGCUGUGGUCCCAGGUAGAAGGGUAUGGUGAAGGAAAGCCUCACAGGACAUGUUAACCAGUCAGCAAAGAGAAAGCUCCACUCAACAGGGAGAGAAUAUAAACCCCAAAGGCCCUCCUCAGUCACUUGUGUCCAGUCGUACCCUCUCUGCCCACCAUUACCACCCAGUUAACUCAUAUCCCCUAAGAAAGUUACAAUUCUCAUAAUCUAGUCACUUUAUCUCUUCUUGCAUUGUCUCAUACAUGAGUAUUUGGAAAGUAUCUCCUAUCUAAACCAUCUCAUUCCACCCCAGCCCCUGAAAGCUCAUGCUCCAUUCAGAAAGCGAAAUACAUUUCUUCCAUUUUUAAGAUUCCCCAUAGUCGUAACAGUUCCAGUAUUACCCAAAAAUACAAAUCCAAAAUCUCACCUGAGACUCAAGGCCAACUCAUUAAUAUUUUCUCCUGUGAAGACCAUAUAUCCAAUAUAUAAUGGUACAAAAUAAAUAUUUACUUUCCAUAAGGGAGAAAUAGGACCAUAGAAAGGAAGGAGGGGCCAAAGCAAAAUUGAAAUCCAGCAGGGCAAACAAGUCCUAUAGUUCCAUGGCCAACAUUUGGGCCAGAUGACAUCAUCGUGUUCUCUCCAAAGGGCUUGUAUAGCUCUGCCUCUGUGGCCUAGCUGGUUGCAGCCCACAUGAACUCUUUCUUGGCUUGGUGCUCAAUUCCUGCAUUUUUCCUUAGCAGACAUUCCACUUUGUUGGCAUCUCUUAAUCUCACAGGUCAUUACUAAAGCUUUGGCCUCCUCACAUCUUCAUACAUCAUCCUCUUUGGAGCUGCCUGCAGGGAUUCCAACCCUGCUACACUUUUUCUAGCCUCAAAGGUCUUCUUUUAAAAUAUGGAUGGAAACCUCUAUGACAACCUGCUAUGGUUUGCAUGUGAGAUAUCCCCUAAAAGCUCAUAUGUGAGAAAAUGCAAAAAGGUUCAAAGGAGAAAUUAUUGGGCUGUGAGAGGCUUAACCCAAUCAAUGAAUUAAUUUCCUGAUAGGGAUUAAUUGAGUGAUAAUUAAAGAGGUAGGGUAUGGCUGGAGGAGUAAGAAUUGGGGGUAUGGCUUUGGGGUAUAUAUAUCUGUAUAUGGCAGUGUAUUCUCUCUUCUCUCUCUCUGUCUCUCUCCCUCCCUCCCUCCCUCCCUCCCUCCCUUCCUGCCUUUCUCUCCUUUCUGAUCAACAUGUGAGAUAUUUUCCUCUGCCAUACUCUUCUGCCAGGAUGUUCUGCCUCACCUGGAGCUCCGAGGAAUGGAGCAGCCUUCUAUGGACUAAGACCUCUGAAACUGUGAGCCCCCCUAAAUAAAUUUUUCCUUCUUUACAGUUGUUCUGGUAGGGUCUUUCAGUCACAGCAGUGGAAAAGUUGACUAAAAAACACCCUAAUUCCAGCAUCCUGUAGUCCUGCACAACCAUACCAAGGUGGUUCAUGCCAAGGUCUGCACCAUCUUGAGCAGUAGCCAAGCCCCAAGGUACCAUGACUAUAGAAGCCUUUGAAUGUAUAAGUGACUGGGAACAAUAAAACCACUUCCUCGGCCUCCUGUGCAAGCAAGGUGCCCCACUGGUCUCUUCUCAAAGGAAUUUUUACUUUUACACCUUUGAGCCUACAAUGGGCAUGAUCUUGCCAAUUCUUGAUUGCCAUCUCUCCUGUUGGCAUUAUGUAAAGUACUUACCUUCUCUUUAGUCAAUAUAAUCUCUGUAACAACCACAACUUCCUUUGCACCAGUUUUACUUGCACUUUUCCAGCCAAGCUACAAGAUUUUCAAAUCUUUUGCUCUGCUUUCUACUUAUGAUUAUAAUAGUAAGCUUGUUUAAAAGCCACCAGCAAUGUCCAUUCCACUGCCUGAGAGCUAUGCUCCUUGAAAUUUUCUCUGCCACAUUCAGACUCACAGAAAAUCUUAGGAAACAGGCAAAAUGUAGAAAACAUUUUUACCAGAAUGAAACGUGAGUGGCCUCUAGUACAAUUUCCAAUAGAGUCCUUCCUCUGAAAACUCACUAACCCAGUCUUUACUGUCCACAGUCAUACUGGAAUUCUGAUCUUCUAGGCUUUCACCAGAAUCACCCACUAAGCUCACUUAUGACAUUAUAAAGAUUUUUCAGCUUACAUCUCUAAAUUUUUCAAAAUCCCUCCUACAAACAAGUAACAAAGACUUCUGAACUACAUAGUCACAGCAACUUCCUUACUUCUUAGUACCAAUUUCUGGUUUAAUCAGAUUUUCAUUGCUGUGACCACAAGACCUAACAAGAAAAACUCAGAGGAGGAAAUGUUUAUUUUGGCUCAUGGUUUCAUAGGUUUAGUCCAUCGUCAGCUCACAGCAUAGCAGAACACAAUGGCAGAAGCAAAUGGCAGAGGAAAGUAGUUUGAACAUGGCAACCAAGAAGCAGAGAAAGAAUUCUGCUCACCUGGGACAAAAUAUAAACUCCAAAGUCAUUCUCCCCAGUGACCUACUUCUUCCAGCCACACCCUACAUGCCAGUUAAUUAACUACCAAUUAUCAGUAUCAAUGAAUAAAUCUACUAAUUAAAUUACAGCUUUCACAAUCUAUUUCACCUCUGAACUUUCUGUGUUGUCUCAUACUUAAGCUUUUGGGUUACAUCUCAUAUCUAUAUAAUAACAGCAUUAUUAUAAAUUUUCAUUUUAGCCAUUCAAGUACAUAUGCAGUGGUAUUAGUCUAUUUUUUUAAUUUGCAACUCCUUAACAAAUAAAUUAUAUUUAAAUUUCUUAAUGUUAUUAUAUGUC